Molecule: ribosomal RNA, 1118 nt
Filed under: Diptychus maculatus (scaly osman)
Lineage: Eukaryota; Metazoa; Chordata; Actinopteri; Cypriniformes; Cyprinidae
Description: partial 16S ribosomal RNA
Rfam family: Bacterial large subunit ribosomal RNA
Source: RNAcentral
GCCAAACAGCUAGCUCACCCAUCCAAUAACUAAGCAAUGUAAAUAAAACAAAAUAAGCCUAACCCUAAAAAUUAAACCAUUCUUUUACCUUAGUAUGGGAGACAGAAAAGGUUAUACCUGAAGCAAUAGAGAUAGUACCGCAAGGGAAAGCUGAAAGAGAAAUGAAAUAACUCAUAUAAGCACAAAAAAGCAAAGAUUAAAUCUUGUACCUUUCGCAUCAUGAUUUAGCCAGUACACCCAAGCAAAGAGACCUUUAGUUUGAAACCCCGAAACCAGGUGAGCUACCCCGAGACAGCCUAUUAAGGGCCAACCCGUCUCUGUGGCAAAAGAGUGGGAAGAGCUCCGGGUAGAGGUGACAAAUCUACCGAACCUGGUGAUAGCUGGUUGCCUAAGAAGUGAAUAGAAGUUCAGCCUCGUGUUCCCUAGAUCAGACGUUAAAAAGAAGAUACUAUAAGGGUAACGCACGAGAGUUAGUUGAAGGGGGUACAGCCCCUUUAACAAAGGACACAACCUUUACAGGAGGAUAAAGAUCAUAAUACAUAAAACAUCCUGUUCUAGUGGGCCUAAAGGCAGCCAUCUAAACAGAAAGCGUUAAAGCUCAGACAGAAGUAAGUUUAUUAUUCCGACAAAAAAUCUUAUUCCCCUAACUACUAUUAGGCCAGCCCAUGCCCGCAUGGGAGGGACUAUGCUAGAAUGAGUAACAAGAAGGCCUGCCCUUCUCCAAGCACAAGUGUAAGCCAAACCGGACCGACCAUUGGCAAUUAACGAACUCAGCCCAAGAGAGUAAUGUGGAUUGCAACAAGACCAAGUAGAACCCACAAUAAACCUAUCGUUACCCCCACACUGGUGUGCUAUUAAGGAAAGACUAAAAGAAGGGGAAGGAACUCGGCAAACUCAAGCCUCGCCUGUUUACCAAAAACAUCGCCUCCUGCAACAAAACCUAGUAUAGGAGGUCCAGCCUGCCCAGUGACUAUAAGUUCAACGGCCGCGGUAUUUUGACCGUGCAAAGGUAGCGUAAUCACUUGUCUCUUAAAUGGAGACCUGUAUGAAUGGCUAAACGAGGGCUUAACUGUCUCCCCCCUCCAGUCAGUGAAAUUGAUCUAUCCGUGCAGAAGCGG